This 305-nucleotide ribosomal RNA is filed under the name uncultured bacterium. Its description in RNAcentral is "bacterial SSU rRNA". It matches the Rfam family "Bacterial small subunit ribosomal RNA", at positions 333 to 653 of the family's 1533-position model. The record is from RNAcentral.
UUGCUCCUACGGGGGGCAGCAGUGGGGAAUAUUGCACAAUGGGGGAAACCCUGAUGCAGCGACGCCGCGUGAGUGAAGAAGUAUUUCGGUAUGUAAAGCUCUAUCAGCAGGAACGAGACAAGACGGUACCUGACUAAGAAGCCCCGGCUAACUACGUGCCAGCAGCCGCGGUAAUACGUAGGGGGCAAGCGUUAUCCGGAAUCACUGGGUGUAAAGGGAGCGUAGACGGCUGUGCAAGCCUGAAGUGAAAGGCGGGGGCCCAACCCCCGGGACUGCAUUGGAAACUGUCAGGCUAGAGUGCGGGG